Molecule: ribosomal RNA, 377 nt
Filed under: uncultured eukaryote
Lineage: Eukaryota
Description: partial 18S ribosomal RNA
Rfam family: Eukaryotic small subunit ribosomal RNA
Source: RNAcentral
CAAUAGCGUAUAUUUAAGUUGCUGCAGUUAAAAAGCUCGUAGUUGGAUUUCGGGUGGGAAUGGCCGGUCCGCCGUUUCGGUGUGCACUUGCUACGCCCACCUUGCUGCCGGGGACGUGCUCUUGAGUUCACGCUCGGGACACGGAGUCGGCGAGGUUACUUUGAGUAAAUUAGAGUGUUCAAAACAGGCCUACGCUCUGAAUACAUUAGCAUGGAAUAACACGAUAGGACUCUGGCCUAUCUUGUUGGUCUGUAGGACCGGAGUAAUGAUUAAGAGGGACAGUCGGGGGCACUCGUAUUUCAUUGUCAGAGGUGAAAUUCUUGGAUUUAUGAAAGACGAACUACUGCGAAAGCAUUUGCCAAGGAUGUUUUCAUUAA